This 71-nucleotide transfer RNA is filed under the name Ovis aries (sheep). It matches the Rfam family "tRNA". From Rfam's summary of the family: Transfer RNA (tRNA) molecules are approximately 80 nucleotides in length. Lineage: Eukaryota; Metazoa; Chordata; Mammalia; Artiodactyla; Bovidae. The record is from Rfam by way of RNAcentral.
UCCCUGCUGGCUCAGACAGUAAAGAAUCUGCCUGCAAUGCAGGAGACCAGGUUCGAUUCUUGGGUUGGGAG